CCCUUAGAUGUUCUGGGCCGCACGCGCGCUACACUGACGAAUGCAACGAGCUUAUAACCUUGUCCGAAAGGUCUGGGUAAUCUCCAAAUUUCGUCGUGAUGGGGAUAGAUUAUUGCAAUUAUUAAUCUUCAACGAGGAAUGCCUAGUAAGCGCAAGUCAUCAGCUUGCGUUGAUUACGUCCCUGCCCUUUGUACACACCGCCCGUCGCUCCUACCGAUUGAAUGGUCCGGUGAAGCGUUCGGACCGUGGCCUUUGGACGGUUCGCCGUCUGUUGGCUGCGGGAAGUUCGUUAAACCUUAUCAUUUAGAGGAAGGAGAANUCGUAACA
RNAcentral lists this ribosomal RNA (327 nucleotides) under uncultured eukaryote. Its description in RNAcentral is "partial 18S ribosomal RNA". It matches the Rfam family "Eukaryotic small subunit ribosomal RNA", at positions 1470 to 1796 of the family's 1831-position model. The record is from RNAcentral.